This 198-nucleotide ribosomal RNA is filed under the name uncultured bacterium. RNAcentral describes it as "partial 16S ribosomal RNA". It matches the Rfam family "Bacterial small subunit ribosomal RNA", at positions 1303 to 1500 of the family's 1533-position model. The record is from RNAcentral.
GUCUGCAACUCGACUACAUGAAGCUGGAAUCGCUAGUAAUCGCGAAUCAGAAUGUCGCGGUGAAUACGUUCCCGGGUCUUGUACACACCGCCCGUCACACCAUGGGAGUUGGGAAUGCCCGAAGCCGGUGACCUAACCGAAAGGGAGGAGCCGUCGAAGGCAGGCUUGAUAACUGGGGUGAAGUCGUAACAAGGUAUC